Molecule: ribosomal RNA, 479 nt
Filed under: uncultured bacterium
Lineage: Bacteria
Description: bacterial SSU rRNA
Rfam family: Bacterial small subunit ribosomal RNA
Source: RNAcentral
UUAGAGUUUGAUCAUGGCUCAGAGCGAACGCUGGCGGCAGGCCUAACACAUGCAAGUCGAGCGGCCGUAGCAAUACGGCAGCGGCAGACGGGAGAGUAACACGUGGGAACGCGCCCUUCGGUUCGGAAUAACUCAGGGAAACUUGGGCUAAUACCGGAUACGCCCUUACGGGGAAAGAUUUAUUGCCGAAGGAACGGCCCGCGUCCGAUUAGCUAGUUGGUGAGGUAAUGGCUCACCAAGGCGACGAUCGGUAGCUGGUCUGAGAGGAUGACCAGCCUCACUGGGACUGAGACACGGCCCAGACUCCUACGGGAGGCAGCAGUGGGGAAUAUUGGACAAUGGGCGCAAGCCUGAUCCAGCCAUGCCGCGUGGAUGAUGAAGGCCUUAGGGUUGUAAAGUCCUUUCAGCGGGGAAGAUAAUGACGGUACCCGCAGAAGAAGCCCCGGCUAACUUCGUGCCAGCAGCCGCGGUAAUACGCC